This 468-nucleotide ribosomal RNA is filed under the name uncultured bacterium. RNAcentral describes it as "partial 16S ribosomal RNA". It matches the Rfam family "Bacterial small subunit ribosomal RNA", at positions 28 to 507 of the family's 1533-position model. The record is from RNAcentral.
GACGAACGCUGGCGGCGUGCUUAACACAUGCAAGUCGAACGGACAGGCCCUGCUUUUGUGGGGUGCUCGAGUGGCGAACGGGUGAGUAACACGUGAGUAACCUGCCCUUGACUUUGGGAUAACUUCAGGAAACUGGGGCUAAUACCGGAUAGGAGCUCCUGCUGCAUGGUGGGGGUUGGAAAGUUUCGGCGGUUGGGGAUGGACUCGCGGCUUAUCAGCUUGUUGGUGGGGUAGUGGCUUACCAAGGCUUUGACGGGUAGCCGGCCUGAGAGGGUGACCGGCCACAUUGGGACUGAGAUACGGCCCAGACUCCUACGGGAGGCAGCAGUGGGGAAUAUUGCACAAUGGGCGGAAGCCUGAUGCAGCAACGCCGCGUGCGGGAUGACGGCCUUCGGGUUGUAAACCGCUUUCGCCUGUGACGAAGCGUGAGUGACGGUAAUGGGUAAAGAAGCACCGGCUAACUACGUG